UACAGAGGGUGCAAGCGUUAAUCGGAAUUACUGGGCGUAAAGCGCACGUAGGUGGUUCAGUAAGUUGGAAGUGAAAUCCCCGGGCUCAACCUGGGAACUGCUUUCAAAACUGCUGAGCUAGAGUACGGUAGAGGGUGGUGGAAUUUCCUGUGUAGCGGUGAAAUGCGUAGAUAUAGGAAGGAACACCAGUGGCGAAGGCGACCACCUGGACUGAUACUGACACUGAGGUGCGAAAGCGUGGGGAGCAAACAGG
Molecule: ribosomal RNA, 253 nt
Filed under: uncultured bacterium
Lineage: Bacteria
Description: partial 16S ribosomal RNA
Rfam family: Bacterial small subunit ribosomal RNA
Source: RNAcentral